AGCUUUGCGCAGUGGCAGUAUCGUGGCCAAUGAGGUUAAUCCGAGGUGCGAUAAUUGCUAAUCGUUUCUUUUCAGUAUCUAUUCUCAGUACUUAUCUGACCUCUCAUUAUUAUUUUAUGCAAAUGCUUUGCUAUUUUUAAUGUUUACACUUACAAACUCACCCACGAGAGGGAGAUAGCA
Molecule: small nuclear RNA, 180 nt
Organism: Crocodylus porosus (Australian saltwater crocodile)
Lineage: Eukaryota; Metazoa; Chordata; Crocodylia; Crocodylidae
Gene: U4
Rfam family: U4 spliceosomal RNA
About the family: U4 small nuclear RNA (U4 snRNA) is a component of the major U2-dependent spliceosome. The structure of U4 snRNA from yeast and human has been reported.
Source: Ensembl